This is a long non-coding RNA of Lycium ferocissimum, 1861 nucleotides long. RefSeq lists it as uncharacterized. The transcript has 2 exons. Lineage: Eukaryota; Viridiplantae; Streptophyta; Magnoliopsida; Solanales; Solanaceae. The record is from RefSeq and is a predicted model, not a curated record.
AAAGAGAGAAGUAAUUCGAACAUUUAUUAAAUUCUGUCAAGUAUCUGGAAGGUUCUCCUUUCCAUUAAGAUUUUAGUCAUAUGCAAAUUCAGUUCUGCUCUUGUAGAUUUUGCUUAGUUCAUACAGAUUGUUGUUACCCAGAAAAUUUCUUCCAUCUGCUUUGUGCCCAACAGCCAUGGAAACAGUCCUCAAUUGGGAAAAUUACAAAAUGUGUGCAGCAAAAAAAAGUGAGAAUCUGUCAGACAGCCAUUAGACCAUCCCAACACCGUUGACGGAGCUGAGAACGAUCAUCUACGGCGGCCAUGAACCCGAAGGCCAUGGGUGCUGUUAAUCACGCUCUGGUCAAAUGGCCACGUGUCAUCAACCAGACUUAGUUUCCUGUCUCCUUAGAACUCAAGGAUACAGUGGUACGAGCCUAUAGAACAGAUCCUGUUCAAGUAAGGUCGUGACAUUCCUUGUCACGACUCUUGCUUAAGUAGCAAUUUCCAGCAUAGUGUUCUGCCGAUGUGGGACAAGGAGCAACUACAGAUAGCUGCAGUUUUUAACUUGAUUUUGACGCUUCUUGAUGGAUUCUGAAUAUGAGCUUCUGUUCUACGGUGUUUGAAAUCAUUAUACCAUCACCAAUGCCUAACAGAACUGUCGGCCUUUGUCAGCUCCUCUGUUGUUUGCCGGACUUAAUGUUGUUUGGUCUCAACGAUAACUCCUGUUUGCGAUUUUGUAUGCUUCCGUCCUUAUUGGGAAAGAAGAGUAAGAUACAUAUUUUCCAUGUAUGAUGUAUCCUUAUGAUGCUGCAAAUUAUUCCUCCGUUCAGAAUUCAAUGUCUUACUCUACAGCUUUAUGUUCAUCCUUGUUUAUACAUCAUCUGGCCAUGUUAUUGUGUAGAUGAGAAUGAGGAAUCCAUUAAAUAUAAUAUUAGUAUCAUGUGGUUCACAGAACUCUCAUAUGUUGGAAUCACAUGAAACUCUUAAUGAUUAUGCCUCUUUAAAUGAAACCUUAAUUACGAUUAUCAUCAACAGGUGCCAUCUUGCUGCUGCUUUGUUUAGCUUGUUUUAUAUGUUGUUGAUUACGCAGAGAACUUAGUGGUGUGUUUUCACCAACACCAUUCAGUAAGUUAAGCAGAGAGGUGUCUGCAAUACCAUUGAAUCCUCAUUGUUCAUCUGCUUGCUAAUUUUGCCGUCAAACACUCUGGAUUUGGAUGCAAUAAGAAUAGAAAGAUCUGCCGAAGGUCGCGUUGCUGGCUGCGGUUCUAUGUAUCUACAGUAUGACACUUGAAUUUUCAAGAUCAAUUUAUAUAUUAUCGUUCUUCUGAUUUUUGUGUUGCAACACUAGUGUUUACUUCAUAGUUAUCAUGUAUAUUAAAAGAGAAUCAAAUAUAUGCUCCAUUGAUUUCUUUUCUCUAUUGCCAAACAGAAAGCUAAAGAAAGAACAAUGUCAUUUUAACUGAUUCUCCCACAUCACCAGGAGGGAAAAGAAGUGAAGCAAAAGAACUAGUAUAAAACAUGGGCUGGGCACACAGAGUAACAUACUUACCUGGACGGGGUCAAUGGGUGAUCAAUAAGGCCCAUGGCCUAGGUUGGUGACCUCCAUUGCACUUAGGAGGGGUGCCCGCCUAAGGUCGGCCCAAGUGGUCGAGCCUACGUCAUAAUUUGUGGCAGAGGGGGCCUGCGUUCGCGCGGCCCCUACCCAAUUCAAGUCUAAACUUGUGCAUCCCUUGAGAAAUUGGCCUGCUUGUUUAUUCUGACGUUGAAUUUUAAUGGAAAUUCCAAUAAUAUGUUGCGUGAAGUUCACAUUUGUUUCAUCCUGUUAAUUUGAGAUUAAAUCAUACUUAUGUAUGAGCAAUUGGUUUAGUAAUGUUUUAAUA